RNAcentral lists this unclassified non-coding RNA (831 nucleotides) under Daphnia magna. RNAcentral describes it as "hybrid signal transduction histidine kinase G-like, transcript variant X1". The record is from RNAcentral. Lineage: Eukaryota; Metazoa; Arthropoda; Branchiopoda; Diplostraca; Daphniidae.
ACUGCCAGAUAUUCUCAAACGUGGAAUCCUGACACCGUCCUCUCAUAUUUUGAUUCCACAGCUGGGGCGACUCUUUCUCUCCUUGAACUGUCUCGGAAAUUAGUCACUUUAUUGGCUCUCUGUACGCUUUUAAGAACAUGUGAACUUUCUUCAAUAUCGUUGGAAUCGAUCGUCAUUUCCGAUUCUAAAAUGUCUUUUUCCCUGAGCCAACCAAGAAAGGCUCAACACUCCGGACCCCUUCAUCGAAUUUCCGUCGACGCCUGGCGUCUUAAUGUUUCAAUUUGUCCUGUCAAAUGCUUGGAAACUUAUUUAGACCGUACUGCGGCGUUGCGCGAUACCACAAACUCCUCCUCUCUCUUGCUCAGCAGCAACAAACCCCAUGGCCCGGCCUCUGUAGCUACAAUCGGCCGUUGGAUUAAAGAGCAACUCAAAAUAGCCGGUAUCGACACGUCUAUCUUCUCAGCACACUCGACUAGAGGGGCAGCAGCAUCCAAAGCGGUCUUAUCUGGUAUACCGAUUCAAACUGUCUUAGACGCCGGCCAUUGGGCCAGGGAGUCUACGUUCAAACAGUUCUACCACAGGGAGGUGGUCAAUGGACCAACCAACCUGAUCACUAGUUCCGUCCUUCAACCACCAUCAAUUUAAACGCCGGUUAACCCUCUGCUGUGCUGUGGUUUUCUCGCCCUUCUUUUCUGGAUACAAUAACGGUUACCGCGGCCGGAAGAAGGGACGAGACAACAACAACAAUUCAGGCAACUUCAAUAACAACGACUCAAGUUUCAACAAGAAGUGAUCAUGUUUACCUUCGUCGUUGUACCUCCUCCGUGUGGC